CCCUAGUUCUGCUGGAGUGGAGCUGAGAGAGGCUCUUGGGAGCUGCCUGCGUGGGCAGAGUUUGAAGGCUUAGGAUAUCUCCUGAAGGCCGGAUGGGCCAGUAGAGAUUAACGAGGCUUGAGCUGUCUUGAAAGAUGGCUGCCCUGAGAACUGGCUAGAAGAGGAGACCAAGGAGGCUGUGUGGGUCACCCUUGCAUUGGAGAUGAGGGGAGUCGUGAGAGAUCAGUGGGGAGCCCAUUGCCCUGUUGGGGAACUGCCUGGUGGAGCUUUCCCAGGGAUAUUUUAAAGAACCUACAUGGGAGAAAGCCUGCAUUUGGACAUCUUCCAGGCCAUUCAAUAGCCAAAGAGAACCACCAACAGCUUGAAUCAAAAAAAAGGCCCUCAAAAUAGGCUGAAUGAAAAGAGGUGUGAUCGAUGAAAACUGGCCGCUCCUUCUUUGCAACUCCUUCCAUUAGGUGGUGGAGUCUACGUUGCCCUCCCUUUGAUCCAGGCUGGCCACACAAAUUACUUUCACCAACAGAAUGCUGUAGAAGUGAUACUGCAUGACCUCUGAGCCCAGGCCUUAAGGGACUUUGCAGCUUCUGUUCUUGGCCUCUGGCUGCUCUGUGACUACCAUGGAAGGAGUUCCACACUAACCUCCUGUAGGGUAAGAGACACGUGGAGGCAGACUGAGCCUCCCAGCCAUCCCACUGAGGCUCCAGGCGUGCCAGUGAUGUACCUGGCUGAAGCCUGGCCCCCAGUCACCCACUGACGGCAGCUGCAAAGGUGCCCGUGAUGAGGUACAAUUUGCUUGAUGUCAUCAAUACAGUGAGCCAGUGUGAUAUUCUGCGGAAUUGAAGAUGACUACAGUCCCUUUGGACUACACUAUGACAAAGAACAAGAGUGUUAGCACAGCCCUGGGUGGGUCACUGACAAGAAAAUUCACCUGGAGGCCAAAUUGUCUCUAAUAACAAGUCCAAGACAUGCAUUCCAGCUGGAAUCCUCUUCCCGGAUGGUUGUGUGUUUUUAAUUGCAGUAGCCAUCUCCAAAAAUGCCAUCCAGUAACCAUGCCCUUGUGUGCUGCCCUUUCCAUGAAUCUGAGCUAGCCCCAUAAUUUGCUUUUGGCCAUUGGAUGGUGGUGGAAGUGAUGCUGUGUGACUUUUGAAGCUGAGUUACAAGCAGCCUUGGACAGUCUUUCUAGACCUCGUGGAGGGCUCACUCUGGGGGAAGCCAACCAGCAUGUAAGGAGCAUAACUGCCCUGAGACCGCCGUGUUGUUAGGAUGCCCAGCUAGCUAUGUGGAGAAGCUGCAUAGACUGAGGGAGAAGCCCAGCUAGUCCCCAGUUAUUCCUGCCACCCUAACUGAGGCACCAGACCCAUGAGCAAAGAAACCAUCAUGGAUGUCCUGUCCCAUCCAGCUUCUGUGACUGUAACUGUAUGAGGACCCCAAUGAAAACCACACAGCUGAGCCUAGUCAACACACAGAGCUAUGGAAGAUAAUAGUAAAUUGUUGCUUUAAGCCACUUGGUGUUUAUUCAUUUGUUUGGAGGGGGUCGGGGGCAGAGAGAUUAUGCAGCAGUCGAAAACCAGAACACUUGCAUAAAUCUCUAUGAAGCUGGACAUCUCUCUAGACCUGAAGAAGCUCCAGAAUGCCCUGAGCCUGGCAUGACUACAGGGCCACUCUAUUCCCCCGCUGGAAUGAUCCAGAGUGCCAGGAAAACAGGCCCUUCACACAAGGCCCUGAGUCUGUUUCCUGGUUCCUCCAUGACUAGCUGCAAAACUUUAGACAAGCCAGUGCUCUCUCAGCCUGAAUUUUCCCAUCUGCAAAGUUAGGCAAUAGAGUCAAUGGAUCAUCAAAGAUUCUUCUGCUUCUCUGCCUCAUGAAAUAUCACUCUGUGCCUAAGAGAUGAACACACCACCUAGAAUUCCCCCUCUAGGCGUGCCCUUUCUCGGUUCACUCACAUGAUAGGCAUAAAGGCACAAGGAGAAAGGAGCUCAUCUGCGCUGUUUCUGGGCUUCAGGAAUCUCCAGUCACCAAGUGAGGCUGUGGGAGGGCCAGACAUGCCAGCCAGUACCCAGGUUCCCAGCUCCAUGCCCCUCCUCAGCCUCCCUUGAGUUUUUCAGUGCUAAAGAGGGAGCACCUGCUCCAAGGCCCAGGUAGUUCUGGAAUCCCAGCUCUACCUGAGAAGAGGAAGUUCCUGCCUGCCAAAGAAGAGGGGCCUCCUGAGAGGAGUAGGCUUCUCGGUGGCUGCAAAGCGUCUGGUGACAAUAUUUGUGUCUAAAAAUACAGCAGCUGAGAACCAGCUAAUUGCAGCCUCUGGAGUCAUUCAUAGCUCAGCGUUUCACACCACACUUGCACCUCUUCCAGUGUUUCUCAGGAGCUGCCACGAAGGAGGCCACUUAUGGGUGGAAACCCAGCCAGGAGGGCCCAGGAUUGGGCCUAAGGUCCAGGGCAUCCUUUCACCCAAGAGCCCAGCCUGGUACCAGUAUGUAGCUGGCACCUAGGAAUAGAGCAAAGAGAGCAAGUUUCUCAAGUCAGCUGAAUCCCCCCCCCUCUACUCAGAUGCCCUUGGCCACUUGCCCAUCAGGAUCCAUUCAGACCUGUUGGGGCCCCUCAAAAGGCAAUGGCCCAGGUAUAACUUCAUGAGUGAGAUGUACUCGAAGAGAUGCACAAGGUCCAGGAAUUACCUUGCUGGAGACGGCCUUCUGUCCUGGACCUGCAGCCGGCAGGGUGCUAACCUUUGAGCUAGGACCUCUGCUGGACUGGGUCAUGGGCUAAGCAGGGGUUGGGACCCCAUAGCUCCCUGCUGUGGAUCCUCCUUUCUUUCAGAGCUUCUCAGAUGGCUCCUGUCUCGUCUACCAGGAUAAAGGGCAUGACUCAAGGUCACAGGAUGUGACGAUCUGAGAACUUCAGCCACAGCCUCUCUGGUGCCCCACACUGCCUGAACACACAGUGGACGAAGGUCAUGGCAAAAGUAGAAGGAACCCUGCGUGGGGAAUGUGUUUGCCUCAGGCUUUAGGAGAAGGAAUUUUUUUUUUCUUAAUCAGGGAGGCAUUUUAAAAGCACAAAGCCAAACUAACAUUUGUGUAGUAUUUUUCACUUGGCAAAAUGCUGUCACACACCUAGUGCUAGGUGGUUCCCAUGUUAAUUAGAUGAGGUGGUUAUUAUUAUGGCGUCCACUUUAUGGGUAAUUAAACUGAGGAUCAGAGGGGCUGAGUCAUUUCCCCAGGGUCACCAAAGUCAUGACCAGCCUUGAACUCAAGUCAGGAGCCCUCCUGCUGGGUCAGCAGGCCCAGCACCGCCUCCUGGCCCAGCUUAGAAGCUUGACUAGUCAGCCCCAUUGGGGUCCCAGAUUACAGAAAUGCCACACUCCGGCCACACAGCCCUGAAUCCAACCUAAAUCCAGCUCCAUCAACUUCCCCCUAUCUGCGAAAUUCAUUUGAAUCCCACUCUGAAUCUGGAUCCAUUAACCUUUGACCUAUGAGAAAUGAGUCAGAGCCUAAGAAAAAGCGGGCACCUAGAGAAAGCAGGGAGCAAAAAACAGAGUUUCUGAGAGCAGGGGCCCUCUGCUUGAUGGUCAGCUCCUCCCCUGGCACCUGGGCCAGGUCAGCCGAUGCUCUGUGUGGCCAAGAGAGGGCCAGACCUGGCCUCUGGCUGUGAGUGGCUGGGACGGCGAGCAAGACCCAGCUACAUAUCUGUCUUCAGCCCCUGCAACUGGGAGAGCAGCAACUCAGAGAUCAGCCGUUUCACCCUUCUUCCUAAUCACCGCGGGCGUGAUGGAACACCUUGACAUUCUUUAACGAAAGUUCAACUCCACUGCCACUCGGGGCGCUGCAUGAGGAAUGAGGUUUAUGUUGAAUCCCAGAAUCACAGAAAUUAGAGAUGAAAAAGGACGCUGAGGUCAGAGGCAGCCCAUCCCCAUGGGGCCAAGUGCACGUUCUUCUCGGUAAUAGACUUUCCCUUUAUUCCUCCAGUCCAGGUGGCUGCCUCCCUGAAGACCAUUCUCCACUGUUUCUUGGAGAAGACACUGUUGAUAGAAAUGAGAAGUCUGUGCUGAUCCCUGCAUGAUUUGCUUUGAAAUUUAUUAAUCAUCCAAAAGCUGGUGAAGAGGGGAAAAAAGAGAAUGUAAACUCAUCUGGUAGCCAGCGUGCCUGAGUGCGAAGAAGGAGGAGAGCCAGAACCCUCUGGGUUUCCAGCUUGCUAUAGCUCUAGGGCAGCAUGGGACAGUGUAGACUGAUCACUGACUUGCUAUGUAACCUGGCAAAAUUUUGACUUCCCUGAGCCUCAGUUUUCUCAUCUGCAAAAUGGGAGCUCAUGAUGCCUAUGCACAGGGCUGUUGGAAGAUUAGAGUUAACAAAGGUUUAGCACCUCAUAUUGUGCCUGACCCAUGUGAAUUACUCCGUAAAUGGUAACGAUUAUUACUAACAUUACUUUAUGACUCUCCCCUCUCCAGAUCCGUGUCCCUGUCUGUAACACAGGGCUAAGCAAGUUCUUCAGCUAUUGGGCUUCAUCCACUCAACAUUCCACUGGCACUUCCAGAGCUGCCACCACACUUCAGACUCCCAAGGCUAACAAUGACCAAGAAAGACAGAUUCUCUGACGUCAUGGAACUUACUGUCUUUAUGAAUUUCCAGGGAGAAGGGUGCUAAGAUGCUAACAUGGAUACUAACCAUCUGAUGCAAUAUUCUGCUGCACAGAUUGUGACCUAUGACUCACUGGGACAUGAUAGAGGUCACAGAAAUGCCAAUGACAUCCCAAAGACAGUGUGGGAGUGUGUUGUCUAGCUUCUUAGCAAACCCCACCCCCACGGUGGCAUGACCCCUGCACCAUCUUCUCCCACCCUGGGAUCUCCUUCCUACCCCUCUGCCCAUGUCAAUCUGGAAGGUACUUUUAUACACACACACACACACUCCUAAUAGCAUCUAAAUCAGUCACUCUCAACCUUGGCUGUGCAUUAGUGGUGCUUACCUAUGACAGGGCUAGGCCCAGGCCACACCCAAAUCCAUUAAAGCAGAGCGUCUGGGGUGGGACCCAAGCAUCAGAGUUAUUGGCAUCUUCCCAGCUCGAGAACCAGUGCUCUAAGCGGAUGUGGUCGUCGGGGGAAAGGCAAGGACCUCUGGUCUUUACAAUCUUCUUGAUAUCACUGAAUAACCUCAGUUUCUCUGUCUGGGCAAGGAGGGUACUAAUACCUCCCUCUCCAGGCCAUGAUGAAGAAGUAUGUGUGCAUCACAGGAGUCCAGGCUUUGAGCCUGGGAUCAGCACAGUUCCUGACUCUGACCCACACACCAUGAGCCAAAGCUCUAGACCUUUCAGAAAUUCUUCACCAUCAGAAAAAUGGAGGUGGCACGCCCUGCCGCAGCUGAUCAACUUCCCAGAUGUGCUGCGAGCCUGCAGUAAGAGAAUGGAUGUGAAAGUGCUUUGUAAACUGAAAAUUCCAAUGAGAAAAAUCCAUUAUCAUUAGGAGAAAGAGAUAGAAGUGGCCUGGCUUUGAAACAUGGUGCUAUCCCCUAGCAAGCAGAGGAGGAGCUUCCAGACAGAAAAUGGUACCUUUCCCCAGAGUCUAUGUUGAGGUGCACCAGCCUUUCCAGUCCUGAGAAAAGACAGAGUCAUGGCUCCAGGGCAGGUGGGCAUGCCUGUGUCCCAGGAGGCACUGUUCUUCCUGGCCAGAGACCCAUGCCCACUUCAGAGGAGCCAUGAAGGAGAAACACCAGGCCACAGUGGAGGACUGUGAUCAAGGAAAAAUUGAAGAACUGCUGCAGGAAAUUGGAGCUGCCAAUCUCCUAACAAUUGGAAUUUUUUUAUACUGUGCAUUUCACAAAUGUAUGUCCUCAAGGACAGAGAAGAUCCUGCCCUAAGGAGCAAGUGUGCGGAGGCCACCUGGCCUUCACUGGUUCCUGCACUGAAUGUUUCCUUCUCACCUGCUGAGUACCAGGUGUUACCCCAGGUAGCCUCAGUGUGAUGGAUUAUCUGCAGAGAUCAUCACCAGUAAUCCUCCAGCCCUGUACAUAUCCACUCUUUUCCAUCAGGAGGUGAAAUUUAUUUCCCCUCCCCUUGAAUCUAGGCCAGUCUUGUGACUUGCUUUGACACUGACUUUUCUUACACUGUGCAUUUCACAAAUGUAUGAGAUGGCAGAAGGACUGAGGACCUGGGGAGGAGAGAGGAGGAAACUGGAGGACUGUGAACGUGGCCACGUCUUUUCCAAUGGAGAGAAAACUCAAUCGGAUCUGGGCACUCCCUACAUUUCUCCACCUCCUGCCGCCCCCGUGAGCCACUGCAGGGAGAUUUUUCUGAAUAAUGGAACAUUUUCCUGUUUUAAUCAGAUGCAAUUUUGCAAGCAGUUUUUAUGAUUUAGCAAGUCCAUUAAAACUGGCAUUUGUUCUGCUCUGACACUCGAAAGGGGCUCCACAGAGCAUAAACAUUGGAAAUUACUUGUAGGGAGAGACAAUAUUAAAAUUCCCCAGCCUGGGCCUGUUGUUUGAGAAAUUCUGUUAUCAAGCAUCAUGCCAGCUACGAUCAGAGGUGCUUGAGAUAUAUGCUGCUUCCUCUUUACGCACUAACUGGGGGCCUGGGAACUCAGGCAGCAAUAAAGUCGCAAUGCUGUUAUCUCUCAGCA
Molecule: long non-coding RNA, 6592 nt
Organism: Homo sapiens (human)
Lineage: Eukaryota; Metazoa; Chordata; Mammalia; Primates; Hominidae
Exons: 10
Source: RefSeq, a predicted model, not a curated record